GACGAACGCUGGCGGCGUGCCUAAUACAUGCAAGUUGAGCGCUGAAGGUUGGUACUUGUGCCAACUGGAUGAGCAGCGAACGGGUGAGUAACGCGUGGGGAAUCUGCCUUUGAGCGGGGGACAACAUUGGGAAACGAAUGCUAAUACCGCAUAAAAACUUUAAACACAAGUUUUAAGUUUGAAAGAUGCAAUUGCAUCACUCAAAGAUGAUCCGACGUUGCAUUAGCUAGUUGGUGAGGUAAAGGCCCACCAAGGCGAUGAUACAUAGACUGUCUGAGAGGAGGAUCAGCCAAACUGGAACUGAGACACGGUCCAGACUCCUACGGGAGGCAGAAGUGGGGAAUAGUGGACAAUGGGCGCAAGCCUGAUCCAGCCAUACCGCGUGGGUGAAGAAGGCCUUCGGGUUGUAAAGCCCUUUUGGUGGGAAAGAAGAGCAGCAGGUUAAUACCCCGCUGUUCUGACGGUACCCAAAGAAUAAGCACCGGCUAACUUCGUG
This 496-nucleotide ribosomal RNA is filed under the name uncultured bacterium. RNAcentral describes it as "partial 16S ribosomal RNA". It matches the Rfam family "Bacterial small subunit ribosomal RNA", at positions 28 to 507 of the family's 1533-position model. The record is from RNAcentral.